AGUCGAGCGAACUGAUUAGAAGCUUGCUUCUAUGACGUUAGCGGCGGACGGGUGAGUAACACGUGGGCAACCUGCCUGUAAGACUGGGAUAACUUCGGGAAACCGAAGCUAAUACCGGAUAGGAUCUUCUCCUUCAUGGGAGAUGAUUGAAAGAUGGUUUCGGCUAUCACUUACAGAUGGGCCCGCGGUGCAUUAGCUAGUUGGUGAGGUAACGGCUCACCAAGGCCACGAUGCAUAGCCGACCUGAGAGGGUGAUCGGCCACACUGGGACUGAGACACGGCCCAGACUCCUACGGGAGGCAGCAGUAGGGAAUCUUCCGCAAUGGACGAAAGUCUGACGGAGCAACGCCGCGUGAGUGAUGAAGGCUUUCGGGUCGUAAAACUCUGUUGUUAGGGAAGAACAAGUACAAGAGUAACUGCUUGUACCUUGACGGUACCUAACCAGAAAGCCACGGCUAACUACGUGCCAGCAGCCGCGGUAAUACGUAGGUGGCAAGCGUUAUCCGGAAUUAUUGGGCGUAAAGCGCGCGCAGGCGGUUUCUUAAGUCUGAUGUGAAAGCCCACGGCUCAACCGUGGAGGGUCAUUGGAAACUGGGGAACUUGAGUGCAGAAGAGAAAAGCGGAAUUCCACGUGUAGCGGUGAAAUGCGUAGAGAUGUGGAGGAACACCAGUGGCGAAGG
Molecule: ribosomal RNA, 680 nt
Filed under: Bacillus sp. (in: firmicutes)
Lineage: Bacteria; Bacillati; Bacillota; Bacilli; Caryophanales; Bacillaceae
Description: bacterial SSU rRNA
Rfam family: Bacterial small subunit ribosomal RNA
Source: RNAcentral